Molecule: long non-coding RNA, 2309 nt
Organism: Labrus mixtus (cuckoo wrasse)
Lineage: Eukaryota; Metazoa; Chordata; Actinopteri; Labriformes; Labridae
Exons: 4
Source: RefSeq, a predicted model, not a curated record
AGUGUCUUCAUUUGGGCUCAAAUGCGAGAUAUGCCGUUGCUAUGGUAAUAUGGCAAUGGCUGUAGCCCUCCUCCCAGCUGUUGGUGGUUUUUGUGAGAGUGAGAGAGAAAGAAAAAGAGAGAGAGAGAGUGUGUAUGUGAGUGUGUGUUUGUGUGUGUGCACGCAUCCAUUGAUGCUGCCUCCGUGCUGUGUUCCCCCUUUCAGUCUUCAGAAUAGUGUCUCUACUAAUCCGUGAAAGUUGCGGCGCUCUGAACCAGUGGCCAAGCCUUUUCCCACUGAACCACGUCCCAGGGUUUGCGCUCAGCUUUACACUUGAUUGGUCCCUCCCGUGGCAGGACUCCCCUCCCUGCUGGGCGUGGGCCCGUCCCCCUUGCUGGGCUGCUCAGCACUGCCUAAUCGCCUUCUCCCCACCAUAAUUACCAGCGCUGAGCCCAGGACUCACCAACAACCCAUUAAAGUCUGGCCAGCCAGUCCUCAGCAGCCCUCACACAUCCAGCAUUUACACAGGCCCAGAACCAGGCCUAAGACCAGGCCCAGAUCCACCACAGCACCUGUUCAUGCCUGGCGAUGCCCCGCAGCACUGUGGACUUGGCUGCUGAGGCUGCUGAGGCUGCUGGGUAGGAAAAUGAGAGGGGGUUGGCAGCUGUGCUGUUGUCCUCCUCCCCCUGCAGUGGAGGUGAUGUGUUUAUUUGGGCUGGGAUGCUGCAGCAAGAAGCUGUGAGAGGUAACUAUCUCCUUGUUGUGCUGUACAGAGUACCAGGGAAUCCACCCUGCAGAGACACAGCCCUUUGAUAUGUGACCACUUCAAACCCACACAUACAAUGGAAGCAGUCAGUGGUGGAAAUAGCCAAAGUUGAUGUUGUCUGGGCAAGGUGGGACAAAUUUGCUUUGCUCAAAACCGACCUUGAACUUUUUCUGCAUACAUAUUUUCAGCAGAGCAAAUACAAAAAAUGUUGUAGAUUCAGAACGUUGACAAUCUUUGCAACAUGUGUAAAAUCAGAAAUGGGAAUACUCCCAUUUACAAUUUGGUUGCACCCAAAAGGUUUUCAAAUUUCAGACGAUUGCACCAUUGCUGAGAGCAUAUGGGACAGGCCAGGUGAAACGCAGUGACCUGGCAAACAGUCCAAAGACUGAUGAGAGCCGGGUACACGUCACAAGUCACUGGGUGUGCUGGCACAAACAGUACCCAGAAUGUGGAUCAGACAGACACCCAGCACUCGUUAGCUUAUUACUCUCUUAUUAGGAACAUUUUUGCCUUGCAUGGAUUGGCAGAGUCCCGCUAGCCACCCUCUUCACAUGGCCCAGGCUCUGUCAGAGCUGAUCAAAAGACAUUUCUUCACAUCUCCAGACGCCAGGGAAAAAAGGAGAAGAAAAGAGGGAGAGAAGAAAAGAGCCAGAAGGGGGCAUACUGCUCUCUCUUUACUCUGGUCUUUUGGUGAAUGAGGACUUUUUUCACAAUGCCCUCUCCUUUUUCUUUAUUUUUUUCAUUCUUCCAUUGGCAGAAAAAAAGAAAGAAAAAAAAAAAGAGUAUUUCCCAUCGCGUUUCGGCAAAUUGUUUUUGCCAUAUCAAAAACAAUUGUCCUCAGGUGAAGAAUGAGCCUGCAGAAUUACAACCAUUCCAGGGGGAGAAAGAGGUCUUCACAAAUCUGACUGGCUUCCAGGCAGCCAAGACCCCCUCGAAGUGGUAAUGAAAAGUGUAACUUUAGCCUCCCAGCUGUACGUCUCAAUCCAUAAUCCUUUCCCAAAAACCUCACCGUAGAGCCGCCUACCACUCCCAUGGCGUUCCCAGCCUGUGCCGGGCUGGGCCUGCUCUGAUUUAUGUGGCAGUCCCGUGUCAUACUCUCAACCUGAAAAGGAUUUGCUCUCCUAUAUUUACCAGGGUGGUCAGGGCAGCUCUCUGGAAACACAGAGAGCCCAGUGUCCGGGGCCUUUUCCCCAGACAGUCCUCUCACCCCUCUGUGCCAAUAAGAUGGACGUGUUGGACCUACCAGAAUGAGACGAGGCUCCAGUGUUUCCAUAGUCGUGUGUUUCUUCAGAGCAGAGGUCAGAGUCCAUGCACCCGCGCCCACGAAGCCGCAUGGCCACGUUUUGGUAUGCAGAUACACAGACGCAGGGUCCUUUAAAGACGUCCAGAAGAAUAUGACCAGCAGCAACAUGAGGCAGAAUCAGGAUAGACCAAUCAUCCAAAAGUGACGUGUGGCACCUGAUUAUUCAGCACUCCGUCCUUCUUCGGUGAAGGCCUGCGGGAAGUGAGACAUCUUCCUCAUCAUUCCCCUGUGGCCAGGUAAUUAUACUAAUCUACCUUCCUC